RNAcentral lists this long non-coding RNA (1286 nucleotides) under Bos indicus x Bos taurus (hybrid cattle). Its description in RNAcentral is "lncRNA (ENSBIXG00005005548.1)". The record is from RNAcentral. Lineage: Eukaryota; Metazoa; Chordata; Mammalia; Artiodactyla; Bovidae.
AGGUGAACCCCCAGAAACUAAUAUCUGACAUUAGUGUGAAAAUAUCCUUGUCUUUCUCUAAACAAGUUCAGUUGUUCUUUCUUGUGUGCAUCUAUGGUACAAUUUAAUAGAUUAAAAUAAUUUAGAAUUAUUAGAGUGCUAACUUUUUAUGAAAAGACAAAUUGUAACUUGGACACAUCUCUCAUUACUAACAACAUAUUAAUGGGUCAUGUUUUCAGUGUUUUAAGUUACAAAACCUAAGUCAUACGAUUUUACACAUAAAAAAGGAAGAUAGGACAGAUUGCUUUUAUUUGCUUACAUUACUUUUUCUCUCAAUAACCUAAGCUCGUUGAAAGGGCUCAUAUUUAAAUCUUCAUUUAUCACUGAAAUAUUAAUUCAGGUUCUAAAUUACUGUUUCUUUUCAGUAACUGUUACAUUAAUGACUUAAACUAUGAGGAAUAGUUUUAUUAUAUAGUAAUUACAGUAACAUACUUAAUGAUACCUGUAUCACAUAAAACAACACAAUAUUUGCAAAAUUAUAAAAAUAAAAAUACGAAGAAACAAGAUGAAUUGGAGCCAUAGUAUUGAAUAAUACAAAUUAAUAAAUCUAGAAUAUUGAUAUAAUAAAUAACAAAACACUAAAAAUCAAGAAUAAAAUGUUAGUAGAGGCUAUACUGAGAAGAAUGAGAAGAAAAUCUCAUUCUCUAAUUUUAAAUAUAACUGAAGAUAGAAGUCUUUCAUAUAUGAUCAUUCUUUUUCCAAAAAAAAAAAGUACGAACAGGAGAGAUUGUGUCACAUAAACAAUGAUAUACUGAUGAGCUUUUCUCCUAAGCUGACAACACAUGAGAAUUAUUAACCCAUUUUUCUUAUUAUUAUAUGCCUCUGCCAAGAUAAUCUGCAUGCAGAAACCUGAUGAUUUUAAGGGAGUUUCCCACUUGAUCAGUGUUGUAGUGAAUGAGAUGCAUGAUAAAUAUGCUUCCAGAACAAGGGAAGAAGUAUGAUUUCAGAAAUGUCUCUGAAUACUUUGGAAGAGCAGAGUUACAUUAAAAGUCCCUCCAGAUUGUGUUACCUUCACCAAUAUUCUGGAAUACUGUGGGGCACUAGAAAACCUUGGAGCAAAGCAGAAAAUAAAAUCCUGUUUGGGACCUCAAAGAUGGCAGAUAAAGACAUAAAUUGAAAAGAUUUUGUAACACUGUGUACCCUGUAGGGAUUUGCACUUCAUUCUGAUGACUGUGUGUUUUUAGAAAUCCUUGUAAAUCCUGUGCUUACCAAAUAAAACAUCCCAGACCAGUCUGCUGUCGGCUGCU